CUAAUACGCAGGCCGCGGAAGAACUUCAAUAACAGUCUGUUUUUGGUCUUUCCGUGGUGUGUAUUUGCCCUGAUCCGUGCGGAUUAAGCGAAAAUCGAGUUGGACCAGCGACGAGCGGCCCACAAACAAUUCUAGUCACGCGUGUCGCGGAGCCCAGCGGUAAACAAAAAGCACGCCCCACCCCGCGUUCGGUUCGCCCGCCCCCCGCAAUCAAAACAACAAAAGCACAUACACGCAAGGCCACGGCGGAGCGACAGCAACAACAACAAUGGAGGAACUGAACAGCAUAUUGCAAAAGACCAAAGAUAAAUCAACGCUAAAGGAGCAGGAUGAGAUUCUGCUGCAGCCCUUCACAUACAUACAACAGAUUCCUGGCAAACAAUUCCGCUCCGAGUUGGCCUUGGCCUUCAAUCACUGGUUGCUCAUACCGGGCGAAAAGUUGGCGCAGAUCGGGGACAUUGUGCAGAUGCUGCACAAUUCCAGUUUACUCAUUGAUGAUAUUGAAGACAAUUCGAUCCUUCGCAGAGGUGUGCCCGUGGCGCAUUCCAUAUACGGCGUGGCCAGCACCAUAAAUGCGGCUAACUAUGCUUUGUUCCUGGCGCUGGAGAAGGUGCAACAGCUGGAUCACCCGGAGGCCACCAAGGUGUACACGGAACAGUUGCUGGAGCUGCAUCGUGGACAGGGCAUGGAGAUCUAUUGGCGCGACAGCUUCACGUGUCCCUCGGAGUCCGAUUACAAGCUAAUGACUGUGCGCAAAACCGGCGGCCUCUUCAUGCUGGCCAUCCGCCUGAUGCAGCUGUUUAGCUCGAAUAAAGAGGACUACUCCAAGUUGACGGCUAUUCUGGGCCUGUACUUCCAGAUACGCGACGAUUACUGCAACCUGAGUUUGAAAGAGUACACGGAAAACAAGAGCUUCGCUGAGGAUUUGACAGAGGGCAAGUUCGGUUUCCCAGUAAUCCAUGCGGUUCGCACCCAGAAGCAGGAUAAACAGGUUUUGCACAUAUUACGCCAGCGCACGCACGACAUUGAGGUCAAGAAGUACUGCAUCACCUUGCUGGAAAAGCUGGGCAGCUUUCAGUAUACACGCAAGGUUCUGGAGACGCUGGAUGCGGAGGCGCGGGCGGAGGUAACUCGGCUGGGCAACAAUCCCUUCAUGGACCACCUCCUCAACAAGCUGCUGUCGUGGAAGACGAGCGACAGCGCCAGCAUCACGCAGUCGAACCAGAUCAAUCACAACAACGUCUCACGCAGCAGCCCCAACCAGAACACGCUCAAUUGCAAUUAGCAGCCAAAGAGGCAAAAGAGGGAGCAGUCGUGAAUUGCGAACGGCAGAGCCUCUUUUGCCGCCAAUCCGAGACAGCAGCAGCAGGAGGCCACCGCCUGCCUCAGUGCGCCGUUGUUGCGUUUCCUGCAGAAGCUGAAGAUAUUCUGAGAUUUAUGUUCCCCUUGGCCAACCGGAAAAAACCCACAGAGAACCCUUUAUUUUCAACCAAAACUAGAGCGAUGAGAACGGAAAUGUAUGGAUAAAUUUAGAGGAAUGUAAUGGAAACAGAAAGCACAGGGAUGGAAAAGAAAACCAACAGCAGCCUUACACAGAGAAUUGUUAAGCCAAAAUUAUACACUUGAAAAAAAACGGCAAGAGAAACCACAUCAAAAAGAACAAGAGGAGUAACCAGAUUGCUGAAGAGAAUACGAAAACAAAUUGUAAACUAUGCGAACAUUUUAUGGUAGGAACGACAACUAAUAGCCGAGAAUUUACAGUGCACGCCCAGAUGCAGCUAAACGCAAGCGCACCUAACAUUUUGCCCAUAUACCACUAAUGAAAGCAUUGAAAUAUAUGUAUAUGUAUUUAAAUA
This is an RNA transcript of Drosophila takahashii, 1856 nucleotides long. It is a transcript of the gene named geranylgeranyl pyrophosphate synthase quemao, with no coding region annotated. Lineage: Eukaryota; Metazoa; Arthropoda; Insecta; Diptera; Drosophilidae. The record is from RefSeq and is a predicted model, not a curated record.